This 90-nucleotide transfer RNA is filed under the name Wenzhouxiangella sp. XN201. RNAcentral's name for it is "tRNA-Ser". It matches the Rfam family "tRNA". Rfam says of the family: Transfer RNA (tRNA) molecules are approximately 80 nucleotides in length. Their secondary structure includes four short double-helical elements and three loops (D, anti-codon, and T loops). The record is from RNAcentral. Lineage: Bacteria; Pseudomonadati; Pseudomonadota; Gammaproteobacteria; Chromatiales; Wenzhouxiangellaceae.
GGAGAGGUGGCAGAGCGGUUGAAUGCACCGGUCUUGAAAACCGGCAAGGGUUUGCGCCCUUCGAGGGUUCGAAUCCCUCCCUCUCCGCCA